UACGUAGGGGGCAAGCGUUAUCCGGAAUCACUGGGCGUAAAGCGUGCGUAGGUGGCGUGUUAAGUGUGAUGUUAAAUCGUGGGGCUCAACCCUGUCGGUGCAUCACAUACUGGCAUGCUAGAGGACAGCAGAGGCAAGUGGAAUUGGUAGUGUAGCAGUGAAAUGCGUAGAUAUUACCAGGAACACCAAUGGCGAAGGCAGCUUGCUGGGCUACUCCUGACACUGAGGUACGAAAGCGUGGGGAGCGAACAGG
RNAcentral lists this ribosomal RNA (253 nucleotides) under uncultured bacterium. Its description in RNAcentral is "partial 16S ribosomal RNA". It matches the Rfam family "Bacterial small subunit ribosomal RNA", at positions 524 to 776 of the family's 1533-position model. The record is from RNAcentral.